Molecule: unclassified non-coding RNA, 224 nt
Filed under: Hevea brasiliensis (rubber tree)
Lineage: Eukaryota; Viridiplantae; Streptophyta; Magnoliopsida; Malpighiales; Euphorbiaceae
Source: RNAcentral
GAACAUGUACUGGACAUUUCCAACCAUUUCUGGAGAGGUAAUUUGGGUUUAUCAGCCAAGCCAUGAGCAGCAUAAACAAUUUGGGGAUAAUUUACGCAAUUUGAAAGCUUGGGUUGAAAUAAACCUCUUGAGUGAUGAGUGAUGUGUUGGUGACAAGCUCUUGGUCAACCUUUGGCUAUGUAGCUCAAGGGCUUGGAGGCUUGAAGCCAUGGAUUCUUUACAAG